RNAcentral lists this long non-coding RNA (473 nucleotides) under Sinocyclocheilus grahami. RNAcentral describes it as "lncRNA (ENSSGRG00000020233.1)". The record is from RNAcentral. Lineage: Eukaryota; Metazoa; Chordata; Actinopteri; Cypriniformes; Cyprinidae.
GUUACCGGUAAUUGUCAUAUCAGCACUGGUCUGUCAUGCUGCAUCAAGACCAUCAGACUAUGCAUUUUCCAACAAAGAAACAAAAAGACCUCAUCUGAGCUAAAGGUGUGCCGGAGUGAGAACGACCCCAGAUGUUCGUGGCGCGGCUGCCGUCCAAAUCAAUUAUUCCACUCUCAGCAUGAAUUCAAUUCUCCUGCACUCAUCAGAGGUGUGAAUAGCUCCUGGGACAUCAGGCACACCAGGAACGGUCUCUUUCCCAGAGUGCCGUGCAGCAGUGCCCGCCUAGCUUUGGCACCUCAGCUGUCAGCCCGCUCUGCUGAUGAGGAGAAGGUGUCGGGCGAUGAAGCCGAUAAUGAAGGUACCAUCUUGUUGUCACGACAGAUUGUUUGCUCUGGGCUUUCCGAGGUGCCGCCGAGCUCCAGCAAACUCCACGCCCCCUCUGCCUCGGGGCUUGGCACCUCUGCUGGGGAGAG